AGCCCGAUGAGAGGCGAUGCCAGGCAGGCGACGGUCUGAGAGGAGGACUGAGGCGCGAGUGCAGCUGUGGUGGUGGGUUUUGCUGUUGCUGUUAUUACUAAUGGGCUUAUUCCUCUUGCCUCCCUCCUCCUCCCCCCGCGGGCACCAGCGGUCGGCCGGCGGCGGGGGGGUCCUUGGCUGCCGAUGGCGGGGAGCGGAGCGAGCGCCGGCCGCGCAGGGAGUACGGCGGGAGCGAGCGCGGCUCCGCCGCCGCGUGUGCGCGCGUGUGCGUGUGCCAGCUCCGUGGGGCCGGCGCGUGUGCGCGCCCCCGCGCGCGCCCCUUCCCCGCCCGCUGGUGGCGGCGCGCCUCGCUCCGCGCCUGUGUGUGCGCGUGUGAGUGUGCGUGUGCCCGGCACCCAGCACGUCCCGGCUCGCCGCGCCUGGGAGGUUCUCCUGGCUUCGGUUCCCAGCGCUGCGCCCCGGCGAAGUACAGGAGGGAAAAGCUCCAUGCUUUCAGUGAAAAUGCAUUAUAGAAGUCCAUGGACACCAGCUGCGUGGUCUCCAGACGAACUUGCAGUUGCAAGAUGAGGUCAAAAAUGUCUAGUAACCUCUGGUACAAGCAUCCUUUGUGACUUAAAAUCAAUGAAGUACUGGAAAUAACAAAAAUGUCCCUUGCCUCAAUCCCUUUCUAUCAGGUACUGAAGAUUUAAUACAGACUUAUGGGGAAAUAAAACCAGACGUUGUAAAGUUUGAAUAGUGAAAAAGAAACAUCACACAAACAGGGCACCAGAAUGGAUUUGUUCCAAGUAUUUUGCCCAGACUUCAAGGAUCAUGGAUGUACCCAGGUGGGCUGGCCAGGAUUUCUUAUUGUGGCUGUAGAGGGUGAGAGACACUGUCUUUUGAGUCGGUAUCAUGCUUCCUAGCUUCUUCCUAUGUUAGUUUCCAUGAUGGCUUUGGAUGUACUUUUUAUGUCUCUUUGGAACUGACCUCAAUCAGUAUUUUUUGUUGUUGUUUCCAUGUUGUUUUUGUUGUUGUUGUUGUUUGCUAUUUGCUGUUUUUAUGUUUUGUUUGUUUGUUUCUCCCUGUCCUUUCUUGCCUCUAAGAAACUUACAUUUAUUCACUUUCAUUUGUCUCUGUACCUAUGUGUCUUCAGUUCUGUCCAGGGUGUGGGUUAUCCUUAGUUGUAUUGAUCAGAUUGUUCUGAAUAACUGCAUGAAACAGUGAUAUUCUAGAUGUAUCUCGGUGCCAUACACACUAUUUUUAUGUCCCUCUUCUGCUGCUUCUACUCCUGUUUCCACAACCAGGGAUUCCUAUUGAUUCUCCAAUCUGAUUUCUAUUUCAGUUCUCUGCUACAUGAGUCAACACAGUGGGCUUUAGUACUUGCACUGUAUGGCCCAGAUGGAUUUUUAAAGCUCUGUUGGUAGGCAAUAGAAACAGCCACUCUUCACUGUAAAUGUGAAAGUCCCAAUCAUUUUUUUUUUAGUUGGACCAGCAGAAGUUGUAAGUGAGAGUUACUGUGCAAAUCAGGAAAUUUUUGUAGGCAAAUAUCUAGGAUA
Molecule: RNA transcript, 1535 nt
Organism: Gallus gallus (chicken)
Lineage: Eukaryota; Metazoa; Chordata; Aves; Galliformes; Phasianidae
Exons: 4
Source: RefSeq, a predicted model, not a curated record